Molecule: transfer RNA, 72 nt
Filed under: Ictidomys tridecemlineatus (thirteen-lined ground squirrel)
Lineage: Eukaryota; Metazoa; Chordata; Mammalia; Rodentia; Sciuridae
Also listed under: 1 other name
Description: Spermophilus tridecemlineatus (thirteen-lined ground squirrel) tRNA
Rfam family: tRNA
About the family: Transfer RNA (tRNA) molecules are approximately 80 nucleotides in length.
Source: Rfam by way of RNAcentral
UGAGAAGGAGCUCAAUGGUAGAGCACUUACCUAGUGUGCAUGAGGCCCUGGGUUCAAUCCCUAAUAUCACAA